CCUACGGGAGGCAGCAGUGGGGAAUUUUGGACAAUGGGCGCAAGCCUGAUCCAGCCAUGCCGCGUGAGUGAAGAAGGCCUUCGGGUUGUAAAGCUCUUUCGGCAGGAACGAAAUGGUUCGUGCUAAUACCACGGACUGAUGACGGUACCUGAAGAAGAAGCACCGGCUAACUACGUGCCAGCAGCCGCGGUAAUACGUAGGGUGCAGGCGUUAAUCGGAAUUACUGGGCGUAAAGCGUGCGCAGGCGGUUUCUCAAGUCAGAUGUGAAAGCCCCGGGCUUAACCUGGGAACUGCGUUUGAAACUGGGAGACUUGAGUGUGGCAGAGGGGGGUGGAAUUCCACGUGUAGCAGUGAAAUGCGUAGAUAUGUGGAGGAACACCGAUGGCGAAGGCAGCCCCCUGGGCUAACACUGACGCUCAUGCACGAAAGCGUGGGGAGCAAACAGGAUUAGAUACCCUGGUAGUCCACGCCCUAAACUAUGUCAACUGGUUGUCGGGAGUAUUAACUCUCUUAGGUAACGAGCUAACGCGUGAGUUGACCGCGUGGGGAGGUACGGUCCGGCGAGUUAAACGUUACGUAAGAAGUUAGACGCGNGAGAGNGCGACGGACGACGACGAGGGAGGAGG
RNAcentral lists this ribosomal RNA (626 nucleotides) under uncultured bacterium. RNAcentral's name for it is "bacterial SSU rRNA". The stretch from base 1 to 543 matches the Rfam family "Bacterial small subunit ribosomal RNA", at positions 338 to 873 of the family's 1533-position model. The record is from RNAcentral.